AGGCAGCCAUUGACGAGCAACUAC
This 24-nucleotide non-coding RNA is filed under the name Arabidopsis thaliana (thale cress). Lineage: Eukaryota; Viridiplantae; Streptophyta; Magnoliopsida; Brassicales; Brassicaceae. The record is from RNAcentral.